RNAcentral lists this unclassified non-coding RNA (405 nucleotides) under soil metagenome. RNAcentral's name for it is "partial contains 5.8S ribosomal RNA, internal transcribed spacer 2, and large subunit ribosomal RNA". The stretch from base 1 to 121 matches the Rfam family "5.8S ribosomal RNA", at positions 35 to 154 of the family's 154-position model. The record is from RNAcentral.
GAUGAAGAACGCAGCGAAAUGCGAUAAGUAAUGUGAAUUGCAGAAUUCAGUGAAUCAUCGAAUCUUUGAACGCACCUUGCGCCCUUUGGCCAUUCCGAAGGGCAUGCCUGUUUGAGUAUCAUGAACACCUCAACUCUUUAUGGUUUUCCAUGAUGAGCUUGGACUCUGGGGGUUUUGCUGGCUCACAGUCGGCUCCUCUAAAAUGAAUCAGCUUACCAGUGUUUGGUGGGUUUCAUGGGUGUGAUAACUAUCUACGCUUGUGGUUUUUCCACCAGGUAACCUUCAGCAGUGGAGGUUCGCUGGAGCUCAUAGAUGUCUCUCCUCAGUGAGGACAGCCCUUUGAAUGUUUGAUCUCAAAUCAGGUAGGACUACCCGCUGAACUUAAGCAUAUCAAUAAGCGGAGGA